Molecule: ribosomal RNA, 404 nt
Filed under: Actinomycetes bacterium
Lineage: Bacteria; Bacillati; Actinomycetota; Actinomycetes
Description: Actinobacteria bacterium partial 16S ribosomal RNA
Rfam family: Bacterial small subunit ribosomal RNA
Source: RNAcentral
UGGGGAAUAUUGGACAAUGGGCGCAAGCCUGAUCCAGCCAUGCCGCGUGAGUGAUGAAGGCCCUAGGGUUGUAAAGCUCUUUCACCGGUGAAGAUAAUGACGGUAACCGGAGAAGAAGCCCCGGCUAACUUCGUUCCAGCAGCCGCGGUAAUACGAAGGGGGCUAGCGUUGUUCAGAUUUACUGGGCGUAAAGCGCACGUAGGCGGACUAUUAAGUCAGGGGUGAAAUCCCGGGGCUCAACCCCGGAACUGCCUUUGAUACUGGUAGUCUUGAGUUCGAGAGAGGUGAGUGGAAUUCCGAGUGUAGAGGUGAAAUUCGUAGAUAUUCGGAGGAACACCAGUGGCGAAGGCGGCUCACUGGCUCGAUACUGACGCUGAGGUGCGAAAGCGUGGGGAGCAAACAGG